UACGUAGGGUGCAAGCGUUGUCCGGAAUUAUUGGGCGUAAAGAGCUCGUAGGCGGCUUGUCACGUCGGUUGUGAAAACCUGGGGCUCAACCCCAGGCCUGCAGCCGAUACGGGCAAGCUAGAAUUCGGUAGGGGAGACUGGAAUUCCUGGUGUAGCGGUGAAAUGCGCAGAUAUCAGGAGGAACACCGGUGGCGAAGGCGGUUCUCUGGGCCUUACCUGACGUUGAGGAGCGAAAGCGUGGGGAGCGAACAGG
This 253-nucleotide ribosomal RNA is filed under the name uncultured bacterium. RNAcentral describes it as "partial 16S ribosomal RNA". It matches the Rfam family "Bacterial small subunit ribosomal RNA", at positions 524 to 776 of the family's 1533-position model. The record is from RNAcentral.